AAAUAGAACCUGAAACCGUGUACGUACAAGCAGUAGGAGCACCUUCGUGGUGUGACUGCGUACCUUUUGUAUAAUGGGUCAGCGACUUAUAUUCAGUGGCAAGGUUAACCGUAUAGGGGAGCCGUAGCGAAAGCGAGUCUUAACUGGGCGCUCAGUCUCUGGAUAUAGACCCGAAACCGGGUGAUCUAGCCAUGGGCAGGUUGAAGGUUGAGUAACAUCAACUGGAGGACCGAACCGACUAAUGUUGAAAAAUUAGCGGAUGACUUGUGGCUAGGGGUGAAAGGCCAAUCAAACUCGGAGAUAGCUGGUUCUCCCCGAAAGCUAUUUAGGUAGCGCCUCGGACGAAUACUACUGGGGGUAGAGCACUGUUAAGGCUAGGGGGUCAUCCCGACUUACCAACCCUUUGCAAACUCCGAAUACCAGUAAGUACUAUCCGGGAGACACACGGCGGGUGCUAACGUCCGUCGUGGAGAGGGAAACAACCCAGACCGCCAGCUAAGGUCCCAAAGUAUUGCUAAGUGGGAAACGAUGUGGGAAGGCUCAGACAGCUAGGAUGUUGGCUUAGAAGCAGCCAUCAUUUAAAGAAAGCGUAAUAGCUCACUAGUCGAGUCGGCCUGCGCGGAAGAUGUAACGGGGCUAAGCAAUACACCGAAGCUGCGGCAAUGUCUUUUAGACAUUGGGUAGGGGAGCGUUCUGUAAGCCGUUGAAGGUGAAUCGUAAGGUUUGCUGGAGGUAUCAGAAGUGCGAAUGCUGACAUGAGUAACGACAAAGGGGGUGAAAAACCUCCUCGCCGGAAGACCAAGGGUUCCUGUCCAACGUUAAUCGGGGCAGGGUGAGUCGACCCCUAAGGUGAGGCCGAAAGGCGUAAUCGAUGGGAAACGGGUUAAUAUUCCCGUACUUCUGACUAUUGCGAUGGGGGGACGGAGAAGGCUAGGUGGGCCAGGCGACGGUUGUCCUGGUUCAAGUGCGUAGGCUUGAGAGUUAGGUAAAUCCGGCUCUCUCUAAGGCUGAGACACGACGUCGAGCUACUACGGUAGUGAAGUCAUUGAUGCCAUGCUUCCAGGAAAAGCCUCUAAGCUUCAGAUAGUCAGGAAUCGUACCCCAAACCGACACAGGUGGUCGGGUAGAGAAUACCAAGGCGCUUGAGAGAACUCGGGUGAAGGAACUAGGCAAAAUGGUACCGUAACUUCGGGAGAAGGUACGCUCUUGAUGGUGAAGUCCCUCGCGGAUGGAGCUGACGAGAGUCGCAGAUACCAGGUGGCUGCAACUGUUUAUUAAAAACACAGCACUGUGCAAAAUCGCAAGAUGACGUAUACGGUGUGACGCCUGCCCGGUGCCGGAAGGUUAAUUGAUGGGGUUAGCGCAAGCGAAGCUCUUGAUCGAAGCCCCGGUAAACGGCGGCCGUAACUAUAACGGUCCUAAGGUAGCGAAAUUCCUUGUCGGGUAAGUUCCGACCUGCACGAAUGGCGUAAUGAUGGCCACGCUGUCUCCACCCGAGACUCAGUGAAAUUGAAAUCGCUGUGAAGAUGCAGUGUACCCGCGGCUAGACGGAAAGACCCCGUGAACCUUUACUACAGCUUGGCACUGAACAUUGAACCUACAUGUGUAGGAUAGGUGGGAGGCUAUGAAGACGUGACGCCAGUUGCGUUGGAGCCGUCCUUGAAAUACCACCCUUGUAUGUUUGAUGUUCUAACUUAGACCCAUUAUCUGGGUUGAGGACAGUGCCUGGUGGGUAGUUUGACUGGGGCGGUCUCCUCCCAAAGAGUAACGGAGGAGCACGAAGGUGGGCUAAUCACGGUUGGACAUCGUGAGGUUAGUGCAAUGGCAUAAGCCCGCUUAACUGCGAGAAUGACGGUUCGAGCAGGUGCGAAAGCAGGUCAUAGUGAUCCGGUGGUUCUGUAUGGAAGGGCCAUCGCUCAACGGAUAAAAGGUACUCCGGGGAUAACAGGCUGAUACCGCCCAAGAGUUCAUAUCGACGGCGGUGUUUGGCACCUCGAUGUCGGCUCAUCACAUCCUGGGGCUGAAGUCGGUCCCAAGGGUAUGGCUGUUCGCCAUUUAAAGUGGUACGCGAGCUGGGUUUAGAACGUCGUGAGACAGUUCGGUCCCUAUCUGCCGUGGGCGUUGGAAGAUUGAAGGGGGCUGCUCCUAGUACGAGAGGACCGGAGUGGACGAACCUCUGGUGUUCGGGUUGUGUCGCCAGACGCAUUGCCCGGUAGCUAAGUUCGGAAUUGAUAAGCGCUGAAAGCAUCUAAGCGCGAAGCGAGCCCUGAGAUGAGUCUUCCCUGACAGUUUAACUGUCCUAAAGGGUUGUUCGAGACUAGAACGUUGAUAGGCAGGGUGUGUAAGCGUUGUGAGGCGUUGAGCUAACCUGUACUAAUUGCCCGUGAGGCUUAACCAUACAACACCCAAGG
This 2411-nucleotide ribosomal RNA is filed under the name Vibrio cholerae. Its description in RNAcentral is "partial 23S ribosomal RNA". It matches the Rfam family "Bacterial large subunit ribosomal RNA", at positions 541 to 2925 of the family's 2925-position model. The record is from RNAcentral. Lineage: Bacteria; Pseudomonadati; Pseudomonadota; Gammaproteobacteria; Vibrionales; Vibrionaceae.